Molecule: ribosomal RNA, 2730 nt
Filed under: Escherichia coli
Lineage: Bacteria; Pseudomonadati; Pseudomonadota; Gammaproteobacteria; Enterobacterales; Enterobacteriaceae
Description: partial 23S ribosomal RNA
Rfam family: Bacterial large subunit ribosomal RNA
Source: RNAcentral
GAGGCGAACCGGGGGAACUGAAACAUCUAAGUACCCCGAGGAAAAGAAAUCAACCGAGAUUCCCCCAGUAGCGGCGAGCGAACGGGGAGGAGCCCAGAGCCUGAAUCAGUGUGUGUGUUAGUGGAAGCGUCUGGAAAGGCGCGCGAUACAGGGUGACAGCCCCGUACACAAAAAUGCACAUACUGUGAGCUCGAUGAGUAGGGCGGGACACGUGGUAUCCUGUCUGAAUAUGGGGGGACCAUCCUCCAAGGCUAAAUACUCCUGACUGACCGAUAGUGAACCAGUACCGUGAGGGAAAGGCGAAAAGAACCCCGGCGAGGGGAGUGAAAAAGAACCUGAAACCGUGUACGUACAAGCAGUGGGAGCCUCUUAAUGGGGUGACUGCGUACCUUUUGUAUAAUGGGUCAGCGACUUAUAUUCUGUAGCAAGGUUAACCGAAUAGGGGAGCCGAAGGGAAACCGAGUCUUAACUGGGCGUUAAGUUGCAGGGUAUAGACCCGAAACCCGGUGAUCUAGCCAUGGGCAGGUUGAAGGUUGGGUAACACUAACUGGAGGACCGAACCGACUAAUGUUGAAAAAUUAGCGGAUGACUUGUGGCUGGGGGUGAAAGGCCAAUCAAACCGGGAGAUAGCUGGUUCUCCCCGAAAGCUAUUUAGGUAGCGCCUCGUGAAUUCAUCUCCGGGGGUAGAGCACUGUUUCGGCAAGGGGGUCAUCCCGACUUACCAACCCGAUGCAAACUGCGAAUACCGGAGAAUGUUAUCACGGGAGACACACGGCGGGUGCUAACGUCCGUCGUGAAGAGGGAAACAACCCAGACCGCCAGCUAAGGUCCCAAAGUCAUGGUUAAGUGGGAAACGAUGUGGGAAGGCCCAGACAGCCAGGAUGUUGGCUUAGAAGCAGCCAUCAUUUAAAGAAAGCGUAAUAGCUCACUGGUCGAGUCGGCCUGCGCGGAAGAUGUAACGGGGCUAAACCAUGCACCGAAGCUGCGGCAGCGACACUAUGUGUUGUUGGGUAGGGGAGCGUUCUGUAAGCCUGUGAAGGUGUACUGUGAGGUAUGCUGGAGGUAUCAGAAGUGCGAAUGCUGACAUAAGUAACGAUAAAGCGGGUGAAAAGCCCGCUCGCCGGAAGACCAAGGGUUCCUGUCCAACGUUAAUCGGGGCAGGGUGAGUCGACCCCUAAGGCGAGGCCGAAAGGCGUAGUCGAUGGGAAACAGGUUAAUAUUCCUGUACUUGGUGUUACUGCGAAGGGGGGACGGAGAAGGCUAUGUUGGCCGGGCGACGGUUGUCCCGGUUUAAGCGUGUAGGCUGGUUUUCCAGGCAAAUCCGGAAAAUCAAGGCUGAGGCGUGAUGACGAGGCACUACGGUGCUGAAGCGACAAAUGCCCUGCUUCCAGGAAAAGCCUCUAAGCAUCAGGUAACAUCAAAUCGUACCCCAAACCGACACAGGUGGUCAGGUAGAGAAUACCAAGGCGCUUGAGAGAACUCGGGUGAAGGAACUAGGCAAAAUGGUGCCGUAACUUCGGGAGAAGGCACGCUGAUAUGUAGGUGAAGCGACUUGCUCGUGGAGCUGAAAUCAGUCGAAGAUACCAGCUGGCUGCAACUGUUUAUUAAAAACACAGCACUGUGCAAACACGAAAGUGGACGUAUACGGUGUGACGCCUGCCCGGUGCCGGAAGGUUAAUUGAUGGGGUUAGCGGUAACGCGAAGCUCUUGAUCGAAGCCCCGGUAAACGGCGGCCGUAACUAUAACGGUCCUAAGGUAGCGAAAUUCCUUGUCGGGUAAGUUCCGACCUGCACGAAUGGCGUAAUGAUGGCCAGGCUGUCUCCACCCGAGACUCAGUGAAAUUGAACUCGCUGUGAAGAUGCAGUGUACCCGCGGCAAGACGGAAAGACCCCGUGAACCUUUACUAUAGCUUGACACUGAACAUUGAGCCUUGAUGUGUAGGAUAGGUGGGAGGCUUUGAAGUGUGGACGCCAGUCUGCAUGGAGCCGACCUUGAAAUACCACCCUUUAAUGUUUGAUGUUCUAACGUGGGCCCCUUACCGGGGUUGCGGACAGUGUCUGGUGGGUAGUUUGACUGGGGCGGUCUCCUCCUAAAGAGUAACGGAGGAGCACGAAGGUUGGCUAAUCCUGGUCGGACAUCAGGAGGUUAGUGCAAUGGCAUAAGCCAGCUUGACUGCGAGCGUGACGGCGCGAGCAGGUGCGAAAGCAGGUCAUAGUGAUCCGGUGGUUCUGAAUGGAAGGGCCAUCGCUCAACGGAUAAAAGGUACUCCGGGGAUAACAGGCUGAUACCGCCCAAGAGUUCAUAUCGACGGCGGUGUUUGGCACCUCGAUGUCGGCUCAUCACAUCCUGGGGCUGAAGUAGGUCCCAAGGGUAUGGCUGUUCGCCAUUUAAAGUGGUACGCGAGCUGGGUUUAGAACGUCGUGAGACAGUUCGGUCCCUAUCUGCCGUGGGCGCUGGAGAACUGAGGGGGGCUGCUCCUAGUACGAGAGGACCGGAGUGGACGCAUCACUGGUGUUCGGGUUGUCAUGCCAAUGGCACUGCCCGGUAGCUAAAUGCGGAAGAGAUAAGUGCUGAAAGCAUCUAAGCACGAAACUUGCCCCGAGAUGAGUUCUCCCUGACUCCUUGAGAGUCCUGAAGGAACGUUGAAGACGACGACGUUGAUAGGCCGGGUGUGUAAGCGCAGCGAUGCGUUGAGCUAACCGGUACUAAUGAACCGUGAGGCUUAACCUU